GAUGAACGCUGGCGGCGUGCCUAAUACAUGCAAGUCGAACGGGGAGUACUUACUUCGGUUUUUACUCCUAGUGGCGAACGGGUGAGUAACGCGUUGGUGACCUGCCCCGAAGCGGGGGAUAACAGUUCGAAAGGACUGCUAAUACCCCAUGUGGUCGUACUGGUUAGAGGCUGUACGACUAAAGGAGUAAUCCACUUCGGGAGGGGCCUGCGUCCCAUCAGCUAGUUAGUAAGGUAACGGCCUACCAAGGCGAUGACGGGUAGGGGACCUGAGAGGGUGGUCCCCCACACUGGCACUGAAACACGGGCCAGACAUCUACGGAUGGCAGCAGUAGGGAAUAUUGCACAAUGGGCGAAAGCCUGAUGCAGCAACGCCGCGUGCGCGAAGAAGGCCUUCGGGUUGUAAAGCGCUUUUCUGGAGGAAGAGGAAGGACGGUACUCCAGGUAUAAGGAUCGGCUAACUACGUGCCAGCAGCCGCGGUAACACGUAGGAUCCGAGCGUUAUCCGAAUUUACUGGGCGUAAAGCGCGUGUAGGCGGUCGGGUAAGUUGGACGUGAAAGCUCCUGGCUCAACUAGGAGAGGUCGUUCAAAACUGCCUGGCUAGAGGGCGACAGAGGGAGGUGGAAUUCCCGGUGUAGUGGUGAAAUGCGUAGAUAUCGGGAGGAACACCAGUGGCGAAGGCGGCCUCCUGGGUCGCACCUGACGCUCAGACGCGAAAGCUAGGGUAGCAAACGGGAUUAGAUACCCCGGUAGUCCUAGCUGUAAACGAUGUGGACUUGGCGUUGGUGGGGUUAAAUCCAUCAGUGCCGUAGCUAACGCGAUAAGUCCACCGCCUGGGGACUACGGUCGCAAGAUUAAAACUCAAAGGAAUUGGCGGGGGCCCGCACAAGCAGCGGAGCGUGUGGUUUAAUUCGAUGCUACACGAAGAACCUUACCCGGGUUUGACAUCCAGGUGGUAGGGAACCGAAAGGCGACCGACCCUUCGGGGAGCCUGGACAGGUGCUGCAUGGCUGUCGUCAGCUCGUGUCGUGAGAUGUCCGGUUAAGUCCGGUAACGAGCGCAACCCUUGCUGUAUGUUAUACGUGUCAUACAGGACUGCCGGUUUAGAACCGGAGGAAGGCGGGGAUGACGUCAAGUCAGCAUGGCCUUUAUAUCCGGGGCUACACACACGCUACAAUGGCCAGCACAACAGGUUGCAAAACCGCGAGGUGGAGCCAAUCCCCAAAGCUGGCCUCAGUUCAGAUUGCAGGCUGCAACUCGCCUGCAUGAAGUCGGAGUUGCUAGUAACCGCGCGUCAGCUAUAGUGCGGUGAAUACGUUCUCGGGCCUUGCACACACCGCCCGUCACGUCAUGGAAGCUGACAACACCUGAAGCCGGUAUCCCAACCGCAAGGAGGGAGCUGUCGAAGGUGGGGUUGGUGACUGGGACG
This 1429-nucleotide ribosomal RNA is filed under the name uncultured bacterium. Its description in RNAcentral is "bacterial SSU rRNA". It matches the Rfam family "Bacterial small subunit ribosomal RNA". The record is from RNAcentral.